This 1038-nucleotide ribosomal RNA is filed under the name Triticum aestivum (bread wheat). RNAcentral's name for it is "partial small subunit ribosomal RNA". Lineage: Eukaryota; Viridiplantae; Streptophyta; Magnoliopsida; Poales; Poaceae. The record is from RNAcentral.
AUGACCCGGCAAUCUCUUCAUCCACAUUUUGGCAUCCAUUACGUCAACGACCCGGAAAAAAGCUCCACGUUCAAGGAAGACAAAAUCAUCAACAAAAUCAAGACCUUCCGCCCGACUCUUCGAGUCACCCGAAAGCUCGGGGGCUGCUAUCGUGGAUACGGGACACGGGUAUCCUCAUGGAGCAAAUCACCACAUGCCAACGAUAAAUCUGUGCAAACCCACAUACUCUACUUCGGAGCACAAAAGUACUUUUCCAUCGCAAACUUUCUCGGGCCCUUCCUCUGCUUCGGAGCACCCAAUCAGCCAAAGAAGAUGCCUCCUCCACCCCCGGGGACAGGAACCACACACGGCACGGUGCAGGCUGGGCUCGUCGAGCACACCAGCAACGCAAGCAGUAGCUGCCAGGAAAUGGACGCGACAGCAGAAGCUAGCAGCGCAGAAGGAGCACGCCACGGCGCCGAGCAACGAACAGAUGACCAGCCGGAGAAGGUGUCGUUGCUCGGCAUGCUCAGGCACGCCGACCGCCUCGACAUGCUGCUCAUGGUGAUCGGCUCGCUGGGGGCGGUGGGGAACGGCGCAUCGGGGUCCCUCCUAUUGGUCCUCUAUGGAGACGCCAUCAACUCCUUCGGCGAGAGCACCACCAGCACCGUCCUCCCCGCCGUCACCAAGGUGUGCCACGCCGCCACAGCUUACGGUUAUUCUCAACUUCAUAUAUUUGGGCAUUGGGACAGCAGUUGCUUCCUUUCUUCGUCGCCGCCCCAUGUUCUGGGCCAACCAGACUCUCCGUGCAGGCUGGCGCCCCUCCAUCCCAACACCGCAUGCACUGCUCCCAGCGCAUUGUCAACGCUGCCAAAAUUUCUGCAUGGUCAUUCAUGGGACGGGCUGGGCAAGGUCGGGGUCAUGCGGCCCAAGCGAAGGCUGUCAUCUCUAUGUCAGCGACCAGUUCCAGAUCCCGGAGGCUUGACGAGAAGACCAAAACCCGGGUUCGAGGGCAACACAAAGGCAUGGCAACUCGCCGCUGCCGACGGCGCUAGCUAG